Molecule: ribosomal RNA, 541 nt
Filed under: Colletotrichum gloeosporioides
Lineage: Eukaryota; Fungi; Ascomycota; Sordariomycetes; Glomerellales; Glomerellaceae
Description: eukaryotic LSU rRNA
Rfam family: 5.8S ribosomal RNA (bases 189-342)
Source: RNAcentral
UGCGGAGGGAUCAUUACUGAGUUUACGCUCUACAACCCUUUGUGAACAUACCUAUAACUGUUGCUUCGGCGGGUAGGGUCUCCGCGACCCUCCCGGCCUCCCGCCUCCGGGCGGGUCGGCGCCCGCCGGAGGAUAACCAAACUCUGAUUUAACGACGUUUCUUCUGAGUGGUACAAGCAAAUAAUCAAAACUUUUAACAACGGAUCUCUUGGUUCUGGCAUCGAUGAAGAACGCAGCGAAAUGCGAUAAGUAAUGUGAAUUGCAGAAUUCAGUGAAUCAUCGAAUCUUUGAACGCACAUUGCGCCCGCCAGCAUUCUGGCGGGCAUGCCUGUUCGAGCGUCAUUUCAACCCUCAAGCUCUGCUUGGUGUUGGGGCCCUACAGCUGAUGUAGGCCCUCAAAGGUAGUGGCGGACCCUCUCGGAGCCUCCUUUGCGUAGUAACUUUACGUCUCGCACUGGGAUCCGGAGGGACUCUUGCCGUAAAACCCCCAAUUUUCCAAAGGUUGACCUCGGAUCAGGUAGGAAUACCCGCUGAACUUAAG